Molecule: long non-coding RNA, 195 nt
Organism: Brassica oleracea var. oleracea
Lineage: Eukaryota; Viridiplantae; Streptophyta; Magnoliopsida; Brassicales; Brassicaceae
Exons: 3
Source: RefSeq, a predicted model, not a curated record
GACAAACACAUUAGGGGCGUAUUUGAUCACACCUGCAAUGGGUUCCCAUUUUGUCAUAUACUUUGCCAAAAUGAAAGUGUGAGUAAAGCUUGAUUCUUUUUCGGUUUGUCAACACAUAUGGAGUUUUGCUACUGCUACUAAUGACGAUGCUGGUGAUGCUGCUCCACAGACCAAACCUAUGGAUUCUCCACAGCU